UUUGAACAGAUAAUGGCUAUUAAACAGGGGCUAGAUAACUAUUUCUAAUUUUAUCCUUAAACUCAAAAUUUUAAACACGAUGACUCUUUUCUCGAUUUCUCUCUGUUUUGAUUACAUUGCUCUCCUCUCAAUCUUGAUUUCUCCGUUUCAAUUACAUUGCUCUCAUAUUAGUCUUGAAUUCUCCCUGUUUCAUUAUCUUUCCACUGUUAUAAUUUACCGUUUUAGUCCGAAUCUUGAAAUAUACAUACUUUAUCUCCAAAAAAAAAGAUCACAAUCAUGGCGGAUGAUGAUGGUGGAUUGGAAAAUCAAUCUGGGCCUGAAACAAAAAAAAUCAAGAAAGAUGUGUUGAGGGCAAAGAAAAAGGCAUUCUUGAUAAGAAAAGAACGUAGAAAGAAGAAGACAAUGGAAUUAUCAUUUUUGUGCAAUAUCAAGCAGAUCUAAACAUGGCCUGAGAGUUGCAGUGAUGUAUCUACUUGUACAGAAAUGACUGUUCAAUAAAAAGAAGCGAAAAUCGCAACAUGAUGAUCUUGGUUAACAAGAAGCAGGUUUUGGGAGGUGAUGUAAGAGCUAAUAAUAGGCUUUGGGCCUGGAAGAAUUUCUGAAAAAGGUGGAGGACAGUAUAGACCAAGUCAAGAAACGGAUUUAGGUGGUCAAGUUCAAAGAUCAAGAAACAGAUUCAGGUUUUUACGUGAUUAUUAUUAUUGUGAUUGGACCAGCCCUUUUCAUUCACUUUUCAUUACGUUCUUUCCUGAUUUCAUUCUUAUGUAUUUGUUCAUGGAUGGACACGGGAACUAUUACGUUCUUUGUGUCUUCUGGAGUAUGUAGGUGAAUAGACUUCCUUUUUUGAAUCAAGGCAACAAAUACUAUUGACUUCUAGGUAUUGUUGGGAUGGAUAAUGUGGAAUUGACGAAUAUUUAAAUCAUGCUUUCUUGAAUCAUAUUAACAGCUCGGAAAUUUUUCAUCUAACUUUGCUGAUGGAUUUUAAGACUGAGUUAAUCGUGCUAUUCUUUUUCUUUUUCUUUUUUGCUGAACCAUGUUUUUUAUUUUUGAUUCUGAAAUUUUGAUGCAAUGUUCUUUGGCAUGUUCAUGUCACUUAUACCAUAAUAAUGGCAAUGUUGGUGGCUCUCAUUUGUCUGCUGCUGAUUAAUGCAUUUGUGUCAUAAAAUUCCUUCUCUCCUUCCUCUAUCUUGUAGCCUGUUUCCGUUGCUUGGUCUAAUACUAUGAUGAGUGUAGUGCUGGUGUCUGCUAUACAAACUGUUUAAUUGAUCUUAUGCAUCUACAUAUUGUACCUAAGAAGUACUGCAUCCAUGUGUUACUCUGGCGAAAGGUAGUGUGUCUUGAUAAAAUCCUGAUACACUUUUGACUUCUGCAGGGGGAUGCUUUCUUAAAUAUACUACUUCUGAACAUGCUGAUAAACUUGAUUAUUCUUUCCCCUUUCUCAGAGGCGGUCCUCGCAUUUCUGCCCCUGGGACUAGGCAUUCAUAUUACUAUUCUGCUUGUGUUAGCCAUUCAGAUUUUCCUCCUUUGAUAUGAUAUCAUCUUGUCUUUACUUCGUUUUUUGGCUUUUCUUCAGUCUAGCAUCUGAACUUGGUGACCCAUUGCCUGGCGGAAAUCCUCCUAAUGCCUGGCUUCCAGGAAAUUUGCAAAAUCUUGGCUCACAUUCUAAUGGUAUCCACAUUGUGCUCAUUAUUUUCACCACUAUUCAGAUAUUUCAUAAAUCUUAACUUUCUGGGCUCUAUUGGUGGCCUUCGUGGCAAUGCUGAUUAUAUGCAUUCCUGAUCUGUGGUUUCCCCUGCACCUAUGUUAUAGCUGGCAUGUAGAAUAAUUAUCUCUUUUAGCAGGAUAGAUGGACAUGGGCGGACACGGGUGGGAAGGUCACGUUACCCCCCCAACUUUCGGG
Molecule: long non-coding RNA, 1900 nt
Filed under: Olea europaea (common olive)
Lineage: Eukaryota; Viridiplantae; Streptophyta; Magnoliopsida; Lamiales; Oleaceae
Description: long non-coding RNA (OEUR_LNC013434)
Source: RNAcentral